RNAcentral lists this transfer RNA (73 nucleotides) under Marmota monax (woodchuck). RNAcentral's name for it is "tRNA.Ala". It matches the Rfam family "tRNA". Rfam says of the family: Transfer RNA (tRNA) molecules are approximately 80 nucleotides in length. Their secondary structure includes four short double-helical elements and three loops (D, anti-codon, and T loops). The record is from RNAcentral. Lineage: Eukaryota; Metazoa; Chordata; Mammalia; Rodentia; Sciuridae.
UGGGGUUGUGGCUCAGUGGUAGAGCACUUGCUUAGCAUGUGUGAGGCACUGGGUUCAAUCCUCAGCACCACAA